Long non-coding RNA from Dermochelys coriacea (leatherback sea turtle), 2669 nucleotides. RefSeq lists it as uncharacterized. Lineage: Eukaryota; Metazoa; Chordata; Testudines; Dermochelyidae. The transcript has 8 exons. The record is from RefSeq and is a predicted model, not a curated record.
GCACGAGAUUGGCAGCAGGUUAUGGACGAUGACUGGGCAGCGCCAUCGAUUGGCUGUAUUUGAAGGGUGAGGCGGGGCUCAAUGGUGGAGCAGCCAAAUCGUGAUUGGUGGAGAGGGUAGAGCUGCGCAUGCGUGCGCGAUGGGGGCCUUACUGGGGUGGUUGGUUUACGCUCGGUCGGCUUUGCGCCUGGAGGCUGCGGAGCGGUUGGGGGCGCUCGAGGGAGCGCGUGCCCGGCUGUGGUGGCGGUUGGGCUGGGGUCUCUUUUGAAUAUGCCGCUUUUCCAAGUGCCGCCAAACCCGCCCGCUCAUGCGCGCGCGCGCGCGCGGGCGGGGCGUUGACGCUCUGGCUGUGGGGCCUGGCCCCUGGUUCAAGUAAUCCCCGCGCCGAGUCACGCCUUCGCCCGCUCCGCGCCGCUGGGGCAGGGGCUGCGCUAGCCAUGGGGCAGCCCCGCGCGGGAGGGGGGCACGUUUCAGGGCAGCUGCCCUGGGCUGCAGAUUUGUUGACGGGAAAACGGCUGGGGCAAACGUGAGGGGGCGUUGCGAGCCAGGGCACCAUGGCGGGCGCUAGUUUGGCCCAGUAGCCCCUCUGUCAGAGCGAGAGGCACGCUGCAGUGCGGCCGAGGGUGGCAGAAGAAGUUCCUGAAGGAUGAGUUCCCCUCGAGAACAAUGUGCCGCACUAGCAGGCCAAAGAGAUUGAGUUGCACGCGGGGCAGCAACCCUAGCACAAGGGCGAUGUAGGGCGGGUGUUACAACCUACGUUACGGUUCAGGCCCGGUCAGAGGUUGUAUUUGCUCCGUACCUUAGCUAAGGGUUUGCAGGGAGUUCUCGCUGUAAGGUGGUGCUGGAGUAUUGAAUCUGAGGUCCCAGUGACGAUGUGAUCCCAUCAGGCUGUGCUCGUGGCCCUGCACCAGAUGCGCCAGUCUACAUAGCAGACAAUAGCAGUAUACCGAGAUUUGUGAACAACAGCCAGUUGGAGUCUGCCAUGUCUGUAUCGUGCCUUCGGUACAUCAGAAAACACCACCAAAGUAUGCACCAGUGACUUGUGGAUGCUUUUCCCGUUUCCUGAAACAGGAGUGAAAGCCCAAGCAAGACAAGUUCUUCAACUGAUUGUUUUUAAUCCCAUGAUCCAUUGACCAGCCAUGUGUUGAGGCAAAGAGCUCUUGAGAUUUGGGUGAAGGAUCUUCCCAUCUUCCUGAGCGAGAAGGGGAGGGGCAAGCUGGAAAGUGAUUGGUGAGCAAGCAAAUGGCCCACUGUCUGAGAUCUAUCCGAGGGGUGCCUCAUUGUUGACAUAUGCGGUGAAGUACAAUGGAUUCUAUUACCCACUCAUGGGCUCGUGAGACGUGCCUACUGAAUGUAUCCGUGGUCACAUUCUGAGCUCAUGGAAGUUGCAGGUCUAGUUUGAGGAAGAGAUCUAUGGCCUUGCAAGUUGCCUGUGAAAUUUUGUCCUGAGAGCAACCUUUCAGAAGCCAAUCGUCUAGGUAAAAAGGCAAGGCUUGCCAAACAUCGAGGGAGUGGUGUCUUCAUUCUUCUGUGGAAAUGUGUGGUUCUGGGAAGAACACAGAUAGGACAUGGAGAAACACCCCAUAAAUGAAAGACUGAAUGGGCAUUCAGUUUUUCUAGUGUAAGGUGUUAUUCAGUAACCCAAGUGGACACCUCUCUCUUGCUCCCUCAUAUGAAGUCUGUUGACACUGGGAAGGAAGACAGAGGAUAACAGCACCCAAACAUUGGUAGAUACACCUACAGGUGAAACUGAUUGAGACUUCAUAAUGUCUGCUUCUCUGGUCAGUCAAGUAACAUCACAUAGCAGAAUCAGUAGGAACCAAAUGUAUAUCAUAACUAAACAUGAUCAGGGAUGCAUGAUGCAGUAAUGUUAACGUUAUAUAUUGUCAUUUGAAUUUACACAUAUCUUUAUGCUUUUCGCAUGCUUGAACUCUUAUUUUUGUUUAAGUUUGCCUCAUUGUAAAUGCGUCUCAUAAACAGGGGUGCUGGAAACCUAUGUGAAGAGUUUUCCUGCUUAAAAGAUAUCCUGGCAGAUUUUUUGAAUCUUGGGUGUUUUCCACAGCAUUUAAAGAUUUCAUUUAGAAAGCUAAGUUUGUAGUUCUCCUCUCUUUGUAAAGAUAACCUUUUAAAAACAAACAAAAAAAAAAGCGGUGCUAUCUUCAUCUUCCCGAGUUUAGAGACAUACUGAAAUAGCUGUAAAAUGUAUACUGCUCCAUUCUUCUCAAUGUAGUGGUUAUUCUGCAGUUUAUAAGCAAUUUAAAAGUCAUUCUUAACUCUUUCACUUAUGCUUGUCAUAUCACCUGGACAGUGAAUUAAUCUGAAAGGACAUUCCACAAAAGUUUUAAAAGAUGCCAAUAAUAUUCUAUAUUUCUUCCCCAGCCAGUCAGCAAAGGGUGACCAAUUCCCCAGUUUACCAGCAGUCUUAAUUUCUGGGGGUACCCUAAUCUGCCAACAGAUUAUACUGAAACAUUGGUUAAAACCCAAUUACAGUAUGAUCACUAGCCAUCUGGUCAGCCAGCUUCUCCACAACUUUUAGUUCCUAAUACCGCCAGUACCUCCCACACUCUGUAUCUUCGAGUCACAGAUUCCAAGGUCAGAAGGGCCCACUGGGAUCAUCUCUAGACUGAUCUCUGAUUAACACAGGCCAUAGAACUUCCUCAAAAUUCUAG